Small nuclear RNA from Monodelphis domestica (gray short-tailed opossum), 103 nucleotides. The record is from Ensembl. NCBI's taxonomy places the organism in Eukaryota, Metazoa, Chordata, Mammalia, Didelphimorphia, Didelphidae.
AUUCUUUGGCAGGACAUAUACUAAAAUUUGAAUCAUAUGAAGAAGUUUAGCAUGGCACCUUCUUAAGGAUGACACAGAAAUUAAUGAAGUAUUCCGUAUUAAA